AACGAACGCUGGCGGCAGGCUUAACACAUGCAAGUCGAACGCAUCCUUCGGGGUGAGUGGCAGACGGGUGAGUAACGCGUGGGAAUCUACCUCUUGCUACGGGAUAGCUCCGGGAAACUGGAAUUAAUACCGUAUGUGCCCUUCGGGGGAAAGAUUUAUCGGCAAGGGAUGAGCCCGCGUUGGAUUAGCUAGUUGGUGGGGUAAAGGCCUACCAAGGCGACGAUCCAUAGCUGGUCUGAGAGGAUGAUCAGCCACAUUGGGACUGAGACACGGCCCAAACUCCUACGGGAGGCAGCAGUGGGGAAUAUUGGACAAUGGGCGCAAGCCUGAUCCAGCCAUGCCGCGUGAGUGAUGAAGGUCUUAGGAUUGUAAAGCUCUUUCACCGGGGACGAUAAUGACGGUACCCGGAGAAGAAGCCCCGGCUAACUUCGUGCCAGCCGCCGCGGUAA
Molecule: ribosomal RNA, 449 nt
Filed under: uncultured bacterium
Lineage: Bacteria
Description: partial 16S ribosomal RNA
Rfam family: Bacterial small subunit ribosomal RNA
Source: RNAcentral